RNAcentral lists this ribosomal RNA (648 nucleotides) under Pseudomonas chlororaphis. RNAcentral's name for it is "bacterial SSU rRNA". It matches the Rfam family "Bacterial small subunit ribosomal RNA", at positions 45 to 689 of the family's 1533-position model. The record is from RNAcentral. Lineage: Bacteria; Pseudomonadati; Pseudomonadota; Gammaproteobacteria; Pseudomonadales; Pseudomonadaceae.
GGCCUANANAUGCAGUCGAGCGGUAGAGAGAAGCUUGCUUCUCUUGAGAGCGGCGGACGGGUGAGUAAUGCCUAGGAAUCUGCCUGGUAGUGGGGGAUAACGUCCGGAAACGGACGCUAAUACCGCAUACGUCCUACGGGAGAAAGCAGGGGACCUUCGGGCCUUGCGCUAUCAGAUGAGCCUAGGUCGGAUUAGCUAGUUGGUGAGGUAAUGGCUCACCAAGGCGACGAUCCGUAACUGGUCUGAGAGGAUGAUCAGUCACACUGGAACUGAGACACGGUCCAGACUCCUACGGGAGGCAGCAGUGGGGAAUAUUGGACAAUGGGCGAAAGCCUGAUCCAGCCAUGCCGCGUGUGUGAAGAAGGUCUUCGGAUUGUAAAGCACUUUAAGUUGGGAGGAAGGGUACUUACCUAAUACGUGAGUAUUUUGACGUUACCGACAGAAUAAGCACCGGCUAACUCUGUGCCAGCAGCCGCGGUAAUACAGAGGGUGCAAGCGUUAAUCGGAAUUACUGGGCGUAAAGCGCGCGUAGGUGGUUCGUUAAGUUGGAUGUGAAAUCCCCGGGCUCAACCUGGGAACUGCAUCCAAAACUGGCGAGCUAGAGUAUGGUAGAGGGUGGUGGAAUUUCCUGUGUAGCGGUGAAANNGC